GGGGGUACCGUCACCCCGUAGGCUAUUAACCUCGGAAGCUUCGUCCCCCCUGAAAGCGGUUUACAACCCUAAGGCCGUCUUCCCGCACGCGGCGUUGCUGCGUCAGGCUUUCGCCCAUUGCGCAAGAUUCCCC
RNAcentral lists this ribosomal RNA (133 nucleotides) under uncultured bacterium. Its description in RNAcentral is "partial 16S ribosomal RNA". The record is from RNAcentral.